This 403-nucleotide ribosomal RNA is filed under the name bacterium. RNAcentral describes it as "partial 16S ribosomal RNA". It matches the Rfam family "Bacterial small subunit ribosomal RNA", at positions 355 to 776 of the family's 1533-position model. The record is from RNAcentral.
UGGGGAAUAUUGCACAAUGGAGGGAACUCUGAUGCAGCGACGCCGCGUGAACGAAGAAGGCUUUCGAGUCGUAAAGUUCUUUUAUAUGGGAAGAUAAUGACGGUACCAUAAGAAGAAGCCCCGGCUAACUACGUGCCAGCAGCCGCGGUAAUACGUAGGGGGCUAGCGUUGUCCGGAAUCACUGGGCGUAAAGGGUUCGCAGGCGGAAAUGCAAGUCAGGUGUAAAAGGCAGUAGCUUAACUACUGUAAGCAUUUGAAACUGCAUAUCUUGAGAAGAGUAGAGGUAAAUGGAAUUUUUAGUGUAGCGGUGAAAUGCGUAGAUAUUAAAAAGAAUACCGGUGGCGAAGGCGACUUCCUGGGCGCAUUCUGACGCUGAGGAACGAAAGCGUGGGUAGCAAACAGG